CACGUAGGGGACGAGCGUUGUCCGGAUUCAUUGGGCGUAAAGAGCGUGUAGGCGGCCAGGUAGGUCUGCUGUGAAAACUCGAGGCUUAACCUCGAGCUGUCGGCGGAAACCAUCUGGCUAGAGUCCGGAAGAGGAGAAUGGAAUUCCCGGUGUAGCGGUGAAAUGCGCAGAUAUCGGGAAGAACACCCGUGGCGAAGGCGGCAUCCUGGACCGAGAUUGACGCUGAGGCGCGAAAGCUAGGGGAGCAAACGGG
This 253-nucleotide ribosomal RNA is filed under the name uncultured bacterium. Its description in RNAcentral is "partial 16S ribosomal RNA". It matches the Rfam family "Bacterial small subunit ribosomal RNA", at positions 524 to 776 of the family's 1533-position model. The record is from RNAcentral.